AGCUCGUGUCGUGAGAUGUUGGGUUAAGUCCCGCAACGAGCGCAACCCUUGUCUUUAGUUGCCAUCAUUAAGUUGGGCACUCUAGAGAGACUGCCAGGGAUAACCUGGAGGAAGGUGGGGAUGACGUCAAAUCAUCAUGCCCCUUAUGCUUAGGGCUACACACGUGCUACAAUGGGUAGUACAGAGGGUUGCCAAGCCGUAAGGUGGAGCUAAUCCCUUAAAGCUACUCUCAGUUCGGAUUGUAGGCUGAAACUCGCCUACAUGAAGCUGGAGUUACUAGUAAUCGCAGAUCAGAAUGCUGCGGUGAAUGCGUUCCCGGGUCUUGUACACACCGCCCGUCACACCACGGGAGUUGGAGACGCCCGAAGCCGACUAUCUAACCUUUUGGAAGAAGUCGUCGAAGGUGGAAUCAAUAACUGGGGUGAAGUCGUAACAAGGUAGCCGGAUCGGAAGGUGCGGCUGGAUCACCUCCUUUCUAAGGA
RNAcentral lists this ribosomal RNA (482 nucleotides) under Clostridioides difficile. RNAcentral's name for it is "bacterial SSU rRNA". It matches the Rfam family "Bacterial small subunit ribosomal RNA", at positions 1057 to 1533 of the family's 1533-position model. Lineage: Bacteria; Bacillati; Bacillota; Clostridia; Peptostreptococcales; Peptostreptococcaceae. The record is from RNAcentral.